GACGAACGCUGGCGGCGCGCCUAACACAUGCAAGUCGAACGGAGCUGAGAGAAGCUUGCUUUUCUUAGCUUAGUGGCGAACGGGUGAGUAACGCGUGAGUAACCGGCCCUGGAGUGGGGGACAACAGUUGGAAACGACUGCUAAUACCGCAUAAGCCCACGAUCCGGCAUCGGCUUGAGGGAAAAGGAUUUAUUCGCUUCAGGAUGGACUCGCGUCCAAUUAGCUAGUUGGGGAGGUAACGGCCCACCAAGGCGACGAUAGGUAGCCGGACUGAGAGGUUGGACGGACACAUUGGGACUGAGACACGGCCCAGACUCCUACGGGAGGCAGCAGUGGGGGAUAUUGCACAAUGGGGUAAACCCUGAUGCAGCGACGCCGCGUGGAGGAAGAAGGUUUUCGGAUUGUAAACUCCUGUCGUUAGGGACGAUAAUGACGGUACCUAACAAGAAAGCACCGGCUAACUACGUG
This 468-nucleotide ribosomal RNA is filed under the name uncultured bacterium. RNAcentral's name for it is "partial 16S ribosomal RNA". It matches the Rfam family "Bacterial small subunit ribosomal RNA", at positions 28 to 507 of the family's 1533-position model. The record is from RNAcentral.